AGAAGCUUAGGUUAACCCCAGACCGGGAGCCUUCAAAGCUCCAAGUAAAUAACAACUAUUUAGCUCCUG
RNAcentral lists this transfer RNA (69 nucleotides) under Diaemus youngi. Its description in RNAcentral is "tRNA-Trp". Lineage: Eukaryota; Metazoa; Chordata; Mammalia; Chiroptera; Phyllostomidae. The record is from RNAcentral.